GACGAACGCUGGCGGCGUGCUUAACACAUGCAAGUCGAACGGACCCUUUGGGGUUAGUGGCGAACGGGUGAGUAACACGUGGGUGAUCUGCCCUGCACUUUGGGAUAAGCCUGGGAAACUGGGUCUAAUACCGGAUAGGACUACGCACUGCAUGGUGUGUGGUGGAAAGCUUUUGCGGUGUGGGAUGGGCCCGCGGCCUAUCAGCUUGUUGGUGGGGUGAUGGCCUACCAAGGCGACGACGGGUAGCCGGCCUGAGAGGGUGACCGGCCACACUGGGACUGAGAUACGGCCCAGACUCCUACGGGAGGCAGCAGUGGGGAAUAUUGCACAAUGGGCGCAAGCCUGAUGCAGCGACGCCGCGUGAGGGAUGACGGCCUUCGGGUUGUAAACCUCUUUCGCCAGGGACGAAGCGCAAGUGACGGUACCUGGAGAAGAAGGACCCGGCCACUACGUGCCAGCAGCCGCGGUAAUACGUAGGGUCCGAGCGUUGUCCCGAAUACUGGGCGUAAGAGCUCGUNAGUGGUUUGUCGCGUUGUUCGUGAAAACUCACAGCUUAACUGUGGGCGUGCGGGCGAUACGGGCAGACUGGAGUACUGCAGGGGAGACUGGAAUUCCUGGUGUAGCGGUGGAAUGCGCAGAUAUCAGGAGGAACACCGGUGGCGAAGGCGGGUCUCUGGGCAGUAACUGACGCUGAGGAGCGAAAGCGUGGGGAGCGAACAGGAUUAGAUACCCUGGUAGUCCACGCCGUAAACGGUGGGUACUAGGUGUGGGUUUCCUUCCUUGGGAUCCGUGCCGUAGCUAACGCAUUAAGUACCCCGCCUGGGGAGUACGGCCGCAAGGCUAAAACUCAAAGGAAUUGACGGGGGCCCGCACAAGCGGCGGAGCAUGUGGAUUAAUUCGAUGCAACGCGAAGAACCUUACCUGGGUUUGACAUGCACAGGACGCCGGCAGAGAUGUCGGUUCCCUUGUGGCCUGUGUGCAGGUGGUGCAUGGCUGUCGUCAGCUCGUGUCGUGAGAUGUUGGGUUAAGUCCCGCAACGAGCGCAACCCUUGUCUCAUGUUGCCAGCACGUUAUGGUGGGGACUCGUGAGAGACUGCCGGGGUCAACUCGGAGGAAGGUGGGGAUGACGUCAAGUCAUCAUGCCCCUUAUGUCCAGGGCUUCACACAUGCUACAAUGGCCGGUACAAAGGGCUGCGAUGCCGUGAGGUGGAGCGAAUCCUUUCAAAGCCGGUCUCAGUUCGGAUCGGGGUCUGCACCUCGACCCCGUGAAGUCGGAGUCGCUAGUAAUCGCAGAUCAGCAACGCUGCGGUGAAUACGUUCCCGGGCCU
RNAcentral lists this ribosomal RNA (1328 nucleotides) under uncultured bacterium. RNAcentral describes it as "bacterial SSU rRNA". It matches the Rfam family "Bacterial small subunit ribosomal RNA", at positions 28 to 1381 of the family's 1533-position model. The record is from RNAcentral.